This 392-nucleotide ribosomal RNA is filed under the name Salmonella enterica subsp. enterica serovar Infantis. RNAcentral describes it as "partial 23S ribosomal RNA". It matches the Rfam family "Bacterial large subunit ribosomal RNA", at positions 161 to 589 of the family's 2925-position model. Lineage: Bacteria; Pseudomonadati; Pseudomonadota; Gammaproteobacteria; Enterobacterales; Enterobacteriaceae. The record is from RNAcentral. RNAcentral also lists the same sequence under 12 other names.
AAUCCAUAGGUUAAUGAGGCGAACCGGGGGAACUGAAACAUCUAAGUACCCCGAGGAAAAGAAAUCAACCGAGAUUCCCCCAGUAGCGGCGAGCGAACGGGGAGGAGCCCAGAGCCUGAAUCAGCAUGUGUGUUAGUGGAAGCGUCUGGAAAGGCGCGCGAUACAGGGUGACAGCCCCGUACACAAAAGCGCAUGUGCUGUGAGCUCGAUGAGUAGGGCGGGACACGUGGUAUCCUGUCUGAAUAUGGGGGGACCAUCCUCCAAGGCUAAAUACUCCUGACUGACCGAUAGUGAACCAGUACCGUGAGGGAAAGGCGAAAAGAACCCCGGCGAGGGGAGUGAAAAAGAACCUGAAACCGUGUACGUACAAGCAGUGGGAGCACAGGUUUACC